This 200-nucleotide unclassified non-coding RNA is filed under the name soil metagenome. RNAcentral's name for it is "partial contains internal transcribed spacer 2 and large subunit ribosomal RNA". The record is from RNAcentral.
UUCUGGGCUGCGGAGGACUAGCCUUUAUGGCUGCUCCCGCCUUAAACUUGCUGCACGACCUCAAGCUAUUGCUAGGUUAAUGGAGUGGUGUUUACAUUAUAUUCCAGCGAUUACUGCGAUACUUGGUGGCGUUAAACCCGAUGUUGCGAAAGCAACUGAAGUUUGACCUCGAAUCAGACAAGGAUACCCGCUGAACUUAA